Pipra filicauda (Wire-tailed manakin) is the source of this 435-nucleotide long non-coding RNA. RefSeq lists it as uncharacterized. The record is from RefSeq and is a predicted model, not a curated record. NCBI's taxonomy places the organism in Eukaryota, Metazoa, Chordata, Aves, Passeriformes, Pipridae. The transcript has 3 exons.
GCAAGCUACCUGUGCAUGUGAUUCCACUGCAACCUGACCCAUUCUCAGCCUCCUUCCAACACUCACCUCAAGAGAGACCUUCUAUACUGGAAAAAUGAAGUCUCACAAAAGAAUUAACCGGAUCAAAUAUUUUUGACCUUUUGAUGAGUGGAAAAUGUUGGGAUUUUUUUCUGUCAAUCCUUAGACCUGAGAAAAAAGUUGAGGUCAUAUCCGGCAGAACAGAAAGGUAAAGAAGGAUGGAUAUUUGCCCUUGAUGACACUUGAGUGCUUUGACAGUGACAUAACACUUCACAUGCAUCUCUAUUUUAUAUAUUGAGGAGAGACAGCUCAUCAGAUACACAAACUAUAAAUCUAAACUGUAAAUUCUUCCUAUCCAGAUGUCUGUUACACUCACACCAAAAAAAUUAUAUGAAAAAAUAUAUUAUUUCUGUCCUC